Non-coding RNA from Araneus ventricosus, 77 nucleotides. Lineage: Eukaryota; Metazoa; Arthropoda; Arachnida; Araneae; Araneidae. The record is from the annotation of a GenBank genome assembly.
GCGUCGGCGUGGUAUAACGGUUAGCAUAGCUGCCUUCCGCAAGCAGUGUUGACCUGGUUCGACUCCCGGCUGACGCA